GCGGGCGUAGUUCAGUGGUAGAACGUCAGCUUCCCAAGCUGAAUGUCGCGAGUUCGACUCUCGUCGCCCGCU
RNAcentral lists this transfer RNA (72 nucleotides) under Phycisphaeraceae bacterium. Its description in RNAcentral is "tRNA-Gly". It matches the Rfam family "tRNA". Rfam says of the family: Transfer RNA (tRNA) molecules are approximately 80 nucleotides in length. Their secondary structure includes four short double-helical elements and three loops (D, anti-codon, and T loops). Lineage: Bacteria; Pseudomonadati; Planctomycetota; Phycisphaerae; Phycisphaerales; Phycisphaeraceae. The record is from RNAcentral. RNAcentral also lists the same sequence under 1 other name.